Molecule: non-coding RNA, 716 nt
Organism: Hydra vulgaris (swiftwater hydra)
Lineage: Eukaryota; Metazoa; Cnidaria; Hydrozoa; Anthoathecata; Hydridae
Source: RefSeq, a predicted model, not a curated record
UGAUUACUUUUUAACAUUAGAAGAAAACAAUAAAGAUGCAUAUAAAAAAAAUUAACUUUGUCAAAUGGAAUGUUACUCCCUGACCCUUUCGUACUUGAAAAUUGGAAAAACGACGUUUCAAUGAUGCCCGACAUUACAUGGGGUGACAUGUACAAUUACCUUAUUAACUCCCCAAGUAACUUUACACACGAUUCAAUGAAAGCCUAUAAAUCAUUGGAAUCGUACAACUUUUACAUUUGUGGGCAUGUUUAAGAUGUAUACUAUAAUUUAAUUGAAGAAACGAAUGAAUUUUGUUUCAUUAAAUCUGAGGUGCUUCCAAGUCAAAGACAAGGAAAGAAGCAGAAAUGUUACGAAGUGUGGGUUGCAAUAAAUAAAGUUAAUGGGUGGAUUUUAACGGCAAAUUGCAAAUGCAUGGCAGGAUUGGGCUCUGUGUGUAGUCACAUCGGUGCUUUGUUGUUUAAGCUUGUUGCGUGUGCACAGCUCGGUUUAAAUAAAAUAUCUUGCACAAGCACAUUCUGCAGUUGGAAAAAAUCACGCAAAUCAGCAACCCCAGCCCCACUAAAAAAAAUAAACUUUUCGCGACCAAAGAAGCGUGAAACUCUUCCAAAUAUUAGUGACAAUGAAAACUCACAGGAUGAAAGACCUUACAGCUUUAAGGAUCCUACACCAACUUCAGAUAGUAAAAAAAAAAAGUUGCUAGAACUAAAAAAAUUGUA